Molecule: ribosomal RNA, 912 nt
Filed under: uncultured bacterium
Lineage: Bacteria
Description: bacterial SSU rRNA
Rfam family: Bacterial small subunit ribosomal RNA
Source: RNAcentral
CCGCUGUUUUCGUAGUUUUUGUACGUGGCUUACACAUGCAAGUCGAGGGGCAGCAUGAUCUUAGCUUGCUAAGGUUGAUGGCGACCGGCGCACGGGUGCGUAACGCGUAUGUAACUUGCCUUACAGAGGGGGAUAACCCGUUGAAAGACGGACUAAAACCGCAUACACUUGUAUUAUUGCAUGAUAUUACAAGGAAAUAUUUAUAGCUGUAAGAUAGGCAUGCGUCCCAUUAGCUUGUUGGUGAGGUAACGGCUCACCAAGGCGACGAUGGGUAGGGGAACUGAGAGGUUUAUCCCCCACACUGGUACUGAGACACGGACCAGACUCCUACGGGAGGCAGCAGUGAGGAAUAUUGGUCAAUGGGCGAGAGCCUGAACCAGCCAAGCCGCGUGAAGGAAGACCGUCCUAAGGAUUGUAAACUUCUUUUAUACGGGAAUAACGGGCGAUACGAGUAUUGCAUUGAAUGUACCGUAAGAAUAAGCAUCGGCUAACUCCGUGCCAGCAGCCGCGGUAAUACGGAGGAUGCGAGCGUUAUCCGGAUUUAUUGGGUUUAAAGGGUGCGUAGGUUGUUCGGUAAGUCAGCGGUGAAACCUGAGCGCUCAACGUUCAGCCUGCCGUUGAAACUGCCGGGCUUGAGUUCAGUGGCGGCAGGCGGAAUUCGUGGUGUAGCGGUGAAAUGCAUAGAUAUCACGAGGAACUCCGAUUGCGAAGGCAGCUUGCCAUACUGCGACUGACACUGAAGCACGAAGGCGUGGGUAUCAAACAGGAUUAGAUACCCUGGUAGUCCACGCAGUAAACGAUGAUUACUAGGAGUUUGCGAUAUACCGUCAAGCUUCCACAGCGAAAGCGUUAAGUAAUCCACCUGGGGAGUACGCCGGCAACGGUGAAACUCAAAGGAAUUGACGGGGGCCC